RNAcentral lists this unclassified non-coding RNA (404 nucleotides) under soil metagenome. RNAcentral describes it as "partial contains 5.8S ribosomal RNA, internal transcribed spacer 2, and large subunit ribosomal RNA". The stretch from base 1 to 122 matches the Rfam family "5.8S ribosomal RNA", at positions 35 to 154 of the family's 154-position model. The record is from RNAcentral.
GAUGAAGAACGUAGCAAAAUGCGAUACUUGGUGUGAAUUGCAGAAUCCCGUGAACCAUCGAGUUUUUGAACGCAGGUUGCGCCCGAAGCCUUUUGGCCGAGGGCACGUCUGCCUGGGCGUCACGCAUCGCGUCGCCCCCCACAAUUCUCCGUAAAAGGAACAUGUGUUUUGGGGGCGGAUAUUGGUCUCCCGUGCUCAUGGCGUGGUUGGCCGAAAUAGGAGUCCUUUCGAUGGACGCACGAACUAGUGGUGGUCGUAAAAACCCUCGUCUUUUGUUUCGUGCUGUUGCUCGCAAGGUAAACUCUUUAAAAACCCCAAUGUGUCGUCUCUUGACGACGCUUCGACCGCGACCCCAGGUCAGGCGGGACUACCCGCUGAGUUUAAGCAUAUCAAUAAGCGGAGGA